GCUGAGAUGGCCGAGUGGUUAAGGCGUGCGACUUAAGAUCCCAUAUCGUAAGAUGCGUGGGUUCGAGCCCCACUCUCAGCA
Molecule: transfer RNA, 81 nt
Organism: Rozella allomycis CSF55
Lineage: Eukaryota; Fungi; Rozellomycota
Rfam family: tRNA
About the family: Transfer RNA (tRNA) molecules are approximately 80 nucleotides in length. Their secondary structure includes four short double-helical elements and three loops (D, anti-codon, and T loops).
Source: Rfam